Long non-coding RNA from Lathyrus oleraceus (garden pea), 1537 nucleotides. RefSeq lists it as uncharacterized. The record is from RefSeq and is a predicted model, not a curated record. The transcript is spliced from 2 exons. NCBI's taxonomy places the organism in Eukaryota, Viridiplantae, Streptophyta, Magnoliopsida, Fabales, Fabaceae.
AUGUGGUUCUGCAGGAUGCUUGGCUUGGGCUUUGUGGUGGUUUGCUUUUUGACAUUAUUGAUGUUUCAUGCUGCAGGCUAGUGGAUUUGGACUAGGUAUACUUGCAGUAUUUCUUCAUGAUGCAUGGCAAUAAGGAUUCAAAAUAAGACCAUUGUAAUAUAGUAGUGGAAACAGGGUCUGCUGACGUUUUUGUUCAGUAGGUUUGACCCUGCUCAACUUGCUUCUGCGACUUGAUUCUGCAACAUGAUACUUGCUCCAGGUUUACAUUGGCCUUCUUCUAUUUAAUGUUGAGUUUUCUCCUGUGUAAGGACUGAUGCAUCUUUGGAUAACAUGUACUAAAAACUCUUAGUCGCAUGAAUUGGUUUCCGUUUGUUAUGCAGGUUGCAUCUGAUCUCGCUUAAGAGCUUGUUGGAGUUGGACGACCUGUUGUUGAGAUUGCAUCUGAAGCUUAUGUCUCAAAAGUUGUUGGUUUUACAGAUACUGUCUUUUUGGAUUUCGACGAGUUUUGGCAAAUACCGGUUCUUGGAGCAGGCCCUUCCAAUCUGGUCAUGAACUGACUGAUGUUGUAUGGGCUGCAGAAUGUUGUGAUUUUGCACAUCUAGGCAUUGGUUUCCAGAAGGUACAAUUUGCAACAUGGUUGAGAUUUGCCUUCUGACUUGAUGUGGUGCAGCAGGGUUCCUGGCAUGGUUCAAUGGAGUGUUUUGCGCUAGUAUUGGCAUCUGGUGCAAGUUAGAAACUAACAAACCAUAAAAUUAUGUUGGCUCAGUUAGGUUAGACUUGAAGUGCACUUAAAUAUUAACUCAAUUAGGUUGGUCUGUCAUUCAUUGUGGGAUUUUGGUACUGCGGUAGGUUAACUUGUUUUGCACUGUUAUGAUUGUUUGAAAGAACCAAAUGCUGCCAUGUAUCUUUUGUUAUGUGAUAUGAAGAAAUGAUUGCAAUGAGUUCGCAUUGGCCUUUAUCAAUGAUUUAAAUCCCUGUGUACAAACUUACAAGGCUAGCCAGCAUGGAAGACCUACUUAGGAUGCCAUAAAUGUCAUGGUACGCGAGCUUUGUCCUAUCAUCCAUUUCACACGGCGGUACUUUGGCAUCUUUAUGAUAAAUACUGGGAGUUUUAACAACAAUCAUCUUCCCAGAAGUGCAAAGGACUUUAAUUCGUUCUCUCUUAAUCCCCGAGACUUCGCCGUCUAUUCAAGUGAUGACAGAAUCCUCCAACCAAACAUGGGUUUCAACUUAGAGCAAUAACAGCGGCAGGGACUGAUGGACUUCCAGCUUUAAUCAAACUCCUGCCGAAUCCAGAGCAAUUUUAGCCCUUGCUGUCCAUGACGAAGGUUCUCCAUCUGUGCUGCAGAGAAGUUGGUUCAAGUCUCUAUUUUCAUCUUUUCAUCACAGCUUUCUGUUGUAAUAAAUUUAUUGCUCAACACUGCAUAAUAGGCUUUUAUGAAACCUUCUGUAAUGAUAUUAAUGUGUUGUUAAACUUUUUUUUUUUGGAAUGAAUUGUUGGGAUGCUGGAAUUUAGAUUCUCGAUGGAGUUUUGAUA